Molecule: ribosomal RNA, 500 nt
Filed under: uncultured bacterium
Lineage: Bacteria
Description: bacterial SSU rRNA
Rfam family: Bacterial small subunit ribosomal RNA
Source: RNAcentral
GAGCGAAGCACAUAAAAUGGAAUCUUCGGAUGAAGCUUUAUGUGACUGAGCGGCGGACGGGUGAGUAACGCGUGGGCAACCUGCCUUACACAGGGGGAUAACAGUUAGAAAUGACUGCUAAUACCGCAUAAGACCACAGGACUGCAUGGUCCGGUGGUAAAAACUCCGGUGGUGUAAGAUGGGCCCGCGUCUGAUUAGGUAGUUGGCGGGGUAACGGCCCACCAAGCCGACGAUCAGUAGCCGACCUGAGAGGGUGACCGGCCACAUUGGGACUGAGACACGGCCCAGACUCCUACGGGAGGCAGCAGUGGGGAAUAUUGCACAAUGGGGGGAACCCUGAUGCAGCGACGCCGCGUGAGCGAUGAAGUAUUUCGGUAUGUAAAGCUCUAUCAGCAGGGAAGAAAAUGACGGUACCUGACUAAGAAGCCCCGGCUAACUACGUGCCAGCAGCCGCGGUAAUACGUAGGGGGCAAGCGUUAUCCGGAUUUACUGGUGUAAAG